UCGGAAAGAAUACAGUUUGUAUUAUUCAACACUGGAUUCACAAAGUUAUGUCAAGAUACAUCAAACAUUCUAUGAAUCUAAAAAGCAAACAUUUUCUUAUAAUAAGAACCGGAGGGAGUAAUAUCCGCACAUUUUAUUAACGGGAACACUAAGAGAAAACAAAACAGAACUGUAUGUAUGACGACAUUAUUACAUGUAACUAGCGAUGUAACAUUAUGCAGCAUUCACAGAAAUGGUGAAGUGGUCAAGACCAUCAACAAGCUCACCCUUAAUAAUCU
This 278-nucleotide long non-coding RNA is filed under the name Trifolium pratense (red clover). Its description in RNAcentral is "long non-coding RNA (TPRA_LNC006492)". Lineage: Eukaryota; Viridiplantae; Streptophyta; Magnoliopsida; Fabales; Fabaceae. The record is from RNAcentral.